UAUGGAAGUACACCAGCUAGAGGUGGCUAUAAUGCUGGUGGUAGAGGAGGAGGAAGCUAUAAUGCCAGUGGUGGUAGAGGUGGUGGUUAUGGAAGUACACCAGCAGCAGAGCCUGCACAGGUUAAACAGUGUGAUGAUAAUUGUGAUGAUUCGUGCGAUAAUUCUAGAAUCUAUGUAUCUAAUUUGCCACCAGAUGUGACCAUUGAUGAAUUGAGAGAAUUAUUUGGCGGAAUUGGUCAAAUUGGAAGAAUCAAGCAGAAGAGGGGCUACAAGGAUCAGUGGCCUUGGAACAUAAAAAUAUAUACAGAUGAGAUGGGAAAUAACAAAGGCGAUGCAUGUGUAUCAUAUGAAGAUCCCUCUGCAGCGCAUUCUGCUGGCGGUUUCUAUAACAAUUAUGAUUUGAGAGGCUAUAGCAUUAAUGUUGCAAUGGCUGAGAAGUCUGCACCAAGGGCUCCACCUACAUACAACCAUGGUGGUGGUGGUAGAGGUG
This 490-nucleotide unclassified non-coding RNA is filed under the name Hevea brasiliensis (rubber tree). Lineage: Eukaryota; Viridiplantae; Streptophyta; Magnoliopsida; Malpighiales; Euphorbiaceae. The record is from RNAcentral.